GAUCAUGGCUCAGGACGAACGCUGGCGGCGUGCUUAACACAUGCAAGUCGAACGAGAAUCUACUGAAAGAGUUUUCGGACAAUGGAUGUAGAGGAAAGUGGCGGACGGGUGAGUAACGCGUGAGGAACCUGCCUUGAAGAGGGGGACAACAGUUGGAAACGACUGCUAAUACCGCAUAACGCAUAGGGGUCGCAUGAUCUUUAUGCCAAAGNUUUAUUGCUUCAAGAUGGCCUCGCG
RNAcentral lists this ribosomal RNA (237 nucleotides) under uncultured bacterium. RNAcentral describes it as "partial 16S ribosomal RNA". It matches the Rfam family "Bacterial small subunit ribosomal RNA", at positions 15 to 235 of the family's 1533-position model. The record is from RNAcentral.